This 513-nucleotide ribosomal RNA is filed under the name Rhodotorula mucilaginosa. RNAcentral's name for it is "eukaryotic LSU rRNA". The stretch from base 136 to 289 matches the Rfam family "5.8S ribosomal RNA". The record is from RNAcentral. Lineage: Eukaryota; Fungi; Basidiomycota; Microbotryomycetes; Sporidiobolales; Sporidiobolaceae.
ACUUAACUUGGAGUCCGAACUCUCACUUUCUAACCCUGUGCACUUGUUUGGGAUAGUAACUCUCGCAAGAGAGCGAACUCCUAUUCACUUAUAAACACAAAGUCUAUGAAUGUAUUAAAUUUUAUAACAAAAUAAAACUUUCAACAACGGAUCUCUUGGCUCUCGCAUCGAUGAAGAACGCAGCGAAAUGCGAUAAGUAAUGUGAAUUGCAGAAUUCAGUGAAUCAUCGAAUCUUUGAACGCACCUUGCGCUCCAUGGUAUUCCGUGGAGCAUGCCUGUUUGAGUGUCAUGAAUACUUCAACCCUCCUCUUUCUUAAUGAUUGAAGAGGUGUUUGGUUUCUGAGCGCUGCUGGCCUUUACGGUCUAGCUCGUUCGUAAUGCAUUAGCAUCCGCAAUCGAACUUCGGAUUGACUUGGCGUAAUAGACUAUUCGCUGAGGAAUUCUAGUCUUCGGAUUAGAGCCGGGUUGGGUUAAAGGAAGCUUCUAAUCAGAAUGUCUACAUUUUAAGAUUAG